This 539-nucleotide ribosomal RNA is filed under the name Staphylococcus aureus. RNAcentral describes it as "partial 23S ribosomal RNA". It matches the Rfam family "Bacterial large subunit ribosomal RNA", at positions 1420 to 1954 of the family's 2925-position model. Lineage: Bacteria; Bacillati; Bacillota; Bacilli; Caryophanales; Staphylococcaceae. The record is from RNAcentral.
GGAUAACAGGUUGAUAUUCCUGUACCACCUAUAAUCGUUUUAAUCGAUGGGGGGACGCAGUAGGAUAGGCGAAGCGUGCGAUUGGAUUGCACGUCUAAGCAGUAAGGCUGAGUAUUAGGCAAAUCCGGUACUCGUUAAGGCUGAGCUGUGAUGGGGAGAAGACAUUGUGUCUUCGAGUCGUUGAUUUCACACUGCCGAGAAAAGCCUCUAGAUAGAAAAUAGGUGCCCGUACCGCAAACCGACACAGGUAGUCAAGAUGAGAAUUCUAAGGUGAGCGAGCGAACUCUCGUUAAGGAACUCGGCAAAAUGACCCCGUAACUUCGGGAGAAGGGGUGCUCUUUAGGGUUAACGCCCAGAAGAGCCGCAGUGAAUAGGCCCAAGCGACUGUUUAUCAAAAACACAGGUCUCUGCUAAACCGUAAGGUGAUGUAUAGGGGCUGACGCCUGCCCGGUGCUGGAAGGUUAAGAGGAGUGGUUAGCUUCUGCGAAGCUACGAAUCGAAGCCCCAGUAAACGGCGGCCGUAACUAUAACGGUCCUAA